Molecule: small RNA, 107 nt
Filed under: Marmota monax (woodchuck)
Lineage: Eukaryota; Metazoa; Chordata; Mammalia; Rodentia; Sciuridae
Source: RNAcentral
GCCAGAUAUGGUGGCGCAUACCUGUAAUCCCAAAAGUUUGGGAGGCUGAGGCAGGAGGAUUGCGAGUUCAAAGCCAGCCUCAGGAACUUAGUGAGACCUUGUCUGUA